Molecule: ribosomal RNA, 468 nt
Filed under: uncultured bacterium
Lineage: Bacteria
Description: partial 16S ribosomal RNA
Rfam family: Bacterial small subunit ribosomal RNA
Source: RNAcentral
GACGACCGCUGGCGGCGUGCUUAACCCAUGCAAGUCGACCGGAAAGGCCCUGCUUUUGUGGGGUGCUCGAGUGGCGUACGGGUGAGUAACACGUGAGUAACCUGCCCUUGACUUUGGGAUAACUUCAGGAAACUGGGGCUACUACCGGCUAGGAGCUCCUGCCGCACGGUGGGGGUUGGAACGUUUCGGCGGUUGGGGAUGGGUUCGCGGCUUCUCAGCUUGUUGGUGGGGUAGUGGCAUACCAAGGCUUUGACGGGUAGCCGACCUGAGAGGCUGACCGGCCACAUUGGGACUUAGAGACGCCCCAGACUCGUACGGGACGCAGCGGUGGGGAAUAUUGCACAAUGGGCGGAAGCCAGAUGCAGCCACGCCGCGUGCGGGAUGCCGGCCUUCGGGUUGUAAACCGCUUUCGCCUGUGACGAGGCGUGAGUGACGGUAACGGGUAAAGAAGCACCGGCUAACUACGUG